AUUGAACGCUGGUGGCAUGCCUUACACAUGCAAGUCGAACGGUAACAGGUCUUCGGAUGCUGACGAGUGGCGAACGGGUGAGUAAUACAUCGGAACGUGCCUAGUAGUGGGGGAUAACUACUCGAAAGAGUGGCUAAUACCGCAUGAGAUCUACGGAUGAAAGCAGGGGAUCGCAAGACCUUGUGCUACUAGAGCGGCCGAUGGCAGAUUAGGUAGUUGGUGGGAUAAAAGCUUACCAAGCCGACGAUCUGUAGCUGGUCUGAGAGGACGAUCAGCCACAGUGGGACUGAGACACGGCCCAGACUCCUACGGGAGGCAGCAGUGGGGAAUUUUGGACAAUGGGCGAAAGCCUGAUCCAGCAAUGCCGCGUGCAGGAUGAAGGCCUUCGGGUUGUAAACUGCUUUUGUACGGAACGAAAAGCCCCGGGUUAAUACCCUGGGGUCAUGACGGUACCGUAAGAAUAAGCACCGGCUAACUACGUGCCAGCAGCCGCCGUAA
Molecule: ribosomal RNA, 498 nt
Filed under: uncultured bacterium
Lineage: Bacteria
Description: partial 16S ribosomal RNA
Rfam family: Bacterial small subunit ribosomal RNA
Source: RNAcentral